GUAGGUGAACCUGCGGAAGGAUCAUUAUUGAAUAAACCUGAUGUGGUUGUAGCUGGCUCUCUCGGGAGUAUGUGCACGCCCAUCAUCUUUAUAUCUCCACCUGUGCACCUUUUGUAGACCUGGGGGAUUGAGCAAUCAAUCGUUUAGGUUUACGUUUAUCAUAUACCCCAUAGUAUGUAUCAGAAUGUAUCAAUGGGCUUUGUGCCUAUAAACAAAAUACAACUUUCAGCAACGGAUCUCUUGGCUCUC
This 249-nucleotide unclassified non-coding RNA is filed under the name rhizosphere metagenome. Its description in RNAcentral is "partial ribosomal RNA internal transcribed spacer region". The record is from RNAcentral.